GCAGGCACUCUCAGAACACAGCCUGCCAGCCCCAGCACCCGGCCUUGCUCCCAGCCUCUUCCCACCACAGCAGCCUCUUCCCUCUGUAUUCAGCUCAGGCGCUCAGGACUGCCAGGACCCAGAGGAUUCACACGACAGCCCCGGCUGAAGCCCAGCUCCUCAUCAACCGGUGAGCCGCCUGCCAGCUCCUGCUCCAGCUGCUGAGAAGCCUGAAGAGACCAAGACAGAGACACAGCCCCGCAGCACCACAGGGAGGCCCCAGUUACCCCAUGCGGAUGAGUUUCAUGGCCAUCUCUAACUAAGGACAGGACAUCGAUGUCAUCUGUAACUUCCAGUGCACUGGGGCACACAGCUGCAUCUCCCCAUGCUCACCUCCUGCCUCUUGCUCUGCCCAGUAAGCUCGCCAACCCCCGUGGACUGCUGGCUCUCAAGGCGACCG
Molecule: non-coding RNA, 439 nt
Filed under: Pan troglodytes (chimpanzee)
Lineage: Eukaryota; Metazoa; Chordata; Mammalia; Primates; Hominidae
Source: RNAcentral